CGCAAGCGGUGGCGCAUUGAUGCAACUAUCGGCUCAGAAGCACCCUAACGGCGAAGUAUAGUUUACAAGUUAUUAGAGUGGUAAAGCCACUUAUGAGGCGUUCAGGUGAUUAGCCUAUAGCCGCAGUCGAAGAAAUAAGUAGGGCAAAACGAAUGCUAAAGGUGAACAAAUCGGAUAAAGGUCGCACAUUGGUUCGGAUGACGAAUCCAGGUUCAAAAUUUGAAGGUGACGAAAAUCUGCACGUGCCACAAAUGCAUAAAGAUCCGCAGUCGGCCGAUUGCGAUCUAUAAUUACACAGCACACUGCGUAAACUACAAUUUAGCCAGAAAUGAACUGUUCGGAUAAUGGAGCAUUCCGGCGAUAGAACGUUCCGAUAGCAUGCAUUUCGAUAAUGUCCUGAUAACGGUGCAACUACUAACAUCUGUUGAUUCAUUAGUGAAUUAACAAAAAGAUUAGCUGUUAAUUAAGAUGAUUCUAUUGAAAAAUCGCCGUAGUGUCCGGCUGCUCGUGGGCGGACGGUGUUUGUCUAAUUAGAUUGAACCGUUGAUUGAGCUUACUCUGCUUCCUCGAUGGUUUCCGUCAUGGCGAGGAAGGCACAAUUUAAUAUUAUCGUAGCCAUGACCAUGUAAUCGAAGUACUGAUUCGUACUUAGGAAGAUACAAUACCGUCUUAUAGGAUUCCACGGUGAGAAUAUGAACCAGCUGUUCGUCGCUGUGAACCUAUGGAUGUAGUUCUUACGAAAUCUCUUCGAGACCACGCAAAACGUCUGGAACAAAAAGAAACAAGUACCAUCGGGUCUCUGUUAGUUCUCUCGAAAAGUAUUUAGAGCGCGUUUAGUUGGUCACGUGACGGGAACAAUGAAAUUUCGCGAAUUCGCCGCGUUCUCCGUCGUCGUAAAAACAUUUGUCGAAUUAUCCAGCGAUCUCUUUUGAUUGCGAUAAAUCUUACUGUUUGUUAAUUCAGAAAUAAUCGAAGUAUAUUCAGCGUUGGCGAGAUUAAUUUCUUUUGAGAGAACUCGAGCGCGGCACUGCUCCUCCGAAAAUUAUUUGCCGGAUUAGGGUCCAUUUAACAGCCCUGCCGCGGGACCAAACAAAAAAUUCGCACGAUGACGCUUGCCACUCGGUGUCAAGGCCGCGAUUGAUGAUUAAUAAAAAGCCUGGUUGGUAGAUCGGCCCGCCGGCUCGCCAUCGCAUCGUUCCCGAAAUUUUUCUUUGGCAACGCGAAACGAGGGAAAAGCAAAGCUGAAAAUUAUUUAGCGCGUUGUCGACGGUCUUUCGCUGCUGGAACUGCUCGCUAAUGACUUAACGCUUCGCGAACCCGGUAAUUACUAUUGUACACGGUAUCUGCGUGAAAAAAUACGUGGAAAACGAGCGGCGAAACUUGUCGAUACGACCGCCCGUUUUCGAGAUAAUCGACGUUAAAGACGCGCGCCGGUUGCCAUUAUUUUCACUCGUCGCGUCGACCGAACAUUCGGAAUUUGUCUCCUCGAAAACGAAGGCUUGUUUGGAAAAUUGUUGCCUCUAACUUUUCGCCCCAGUUUUUCAUGGAGAAUCACCCCCGGACAUCGAUUUUACCCGUAGCUACCGUACACAGCUGGCGCGAAAGUGCAAAUAAAGUGUCCAUGCAGACGUGAAA
This is a long non-coding RNA of Megalopta genalis, 1635 nucleotides long. RefSeq lists it as uncharacterized. NCBI's taxonomy places the organism in Eukaryota, Metazoa, Arthropoda, Insecta, Hymenoptera, Halictidae. The record is from RefSeq and is a predicted model, not a curated record.